UCUUCAUUGAGCCGAACAAAGCCGAAAGGCGCUUUGAGAGGGGCCCGCGGCCCAUCAGGUAGUUGGUGAGGUAACGGCCCACCAAGCCGAUGACGGGUAGCUGUUCUGAGAGGAAGAUCAGCCACACUGGCACUGAGAUACGGGCCAGACUCCUACGGGAGGCAGCAGUGAGGAAUAUUGCGCAAUGGACGAAAGUCUGACGCAGCGACGCCGCGUGGGCGACGAAGGCCUUCGGGUCGUAAAGCCCUUUUAGCAGGGAAGAGUGAGGACGGUACCUGCUGAAUAAGUCUCGGCUAACUACGUGCCAGCAGCCGCGGUAAAACGUAGGAGGCGAGCGUUAUCCGGAUUCACUGGGCCGUAAAGCGCGCGUA
This 371-nucleotide ribosomal RNA is filed under the name uncultured bacterium. RNAcentral's name for it is "bacterial SSU rRNA". It matches the Rfam family "Bacterial small subunit ribosomal RNA", at positions 185 to 573 of the family's 1533-position model. The record is from RNAcentral.